GACAAUUGGACCUUCCCAGCCAAGACUUGAGUGGCGGUUUAUUAUUUGGAUGCUUUUUGGAAUGGGCGAGGCCAGCAGUUCCCGCUUCCCCGAGGGCAGCCGGACCGUAGAGCCUGGCCUGCGUGCGGCACAGCUGCCACGGCUGCAUGGCGGGACUAGCUUCGGAGGGUUCGCCCCCAGGGCCGGAGUCCAUUCUCUCCUACCUUCCUCUAUGAAAAUAAUGGCUUGCAGAUGGGGAAACUGAGGCCCAGAGGAGGCGAGGCCUUGCUGUAUAUCUCCAAGCCAAAGAGCAUCUUGGCAAGAGAGUGGGACUAGAACUUGGAAGUGAUCUUGGGCAGAGCUCUGUUCUGCUUCCUGGAGCAGGGACCUCUUCCCAGGCUGCUACACCCUGGGGCACCUCAGCGGCCCUGCUCCCGGUGCCUGCGUGGGCCCGAGUCAAGGCAUCGUGGCGCCUGGCCCCUAGAAGCAACUUCAUUUCCUCUGCCGUCACCGUCUAAAAGUGAGCGAUUCUCCUGACAGCACUGCUUGAGCUCUCUGAGCUGCCUCUGCCCCUCCAGACUUCAGAGAGAGAGAGAGAGAGAGAGAGAGAGAAAGCUCCAGGUGGUCGUCUCGGACACUGGAUUGUCACAUGACCAUGGACAAGAAGUUUAGGAGAGUCUAAUGAGACUGGACAUCUAGUGUCGAGCAUGAGUCCCCAGGUGUCCAGGGCACAUCCAGCCUCUAACUGUCCUCUGUCCCCCAGGAGAGAGUGAAGGGCUGCACUGCACUUGAGCUACCUUGGUCCCUGCCUGUGCCUGGGGACCUGGGAACACGGGCAGGGCCGGUUGGAGCUCCCCGCGGCUCCUGCUUCUUUGUUUUACCAUAUUUAAUACCAAUAUUUAAGCAUCACCAAGGCAACAGCCCAAACCUCCUGGCCCUCGGCCCCCUUCCAGCCCCACACGGUGGGGCUGAGGGCAGGAGGGGAGCAAGGAAAAUGAGUCAAUUGUCCCCUUGCCCCACAACCACCUGGGAAAACAGUGGCCUGAAAAAGACAUCCUGGCAGGGCCACUGCUCUUUUUCGUGGUCCCACGACGGAGCACUUUUAACACAAGCAGGACAGAGUCUUGCAAGACCUCUGUGCUAAUAUAUACUUCAUUUUUGCUGUUGUGGUCAGAGCCCACAGGUUUUUUCAGAUUUUUUAUUGAAGUUGAACAUCUACGAAGAAAGUGUACAAACCUUAAAGGUACAACUUUCACAAACUACAAUUUUUGCAAACUGAACAUGCAAGCACCCAAUCAAGGAUCAGCACAUGACCGGCAGGAGUCCCCACCCUCCUGACAUGGCCUCAAGGGCUCCAGGCAUACCCCACACCAUGAGCCCACCUGUCUCGUGGCUUUUCCUCAAGAGAGCACCUCUCAGGACCUGUGGGAGUUGGCAGCCUCAUUCUGACCAAGGUCACUACCAGGUACACAACUGAGCCUCCUGCCCCGCACUGCCCUUUCUGUUUACACAGGAAGUUCAUUGUUGCAGCACCUCUUCCUCCAGAGAGACCUCCCGGCUUGCUCAUCCUCCCCCCACCCCCAGUGGCCAUCCACUGCACUGGCCAGCCCUCAUAGGCUCCCUCUGGUCCCCAGUGCCGCGAGACUCGCCUUGCCAGAAUGCUACCAGCACAGGUAGGGCAGAGUCUAGGAAGGGGGCUGCCGAGGAGGGUGGGGCGUGCUUUCUACCUGGGCUUGGAUUAAUCUGGGCUUCCUUCAGCACAGACAGCCUGGGGAGGACGACAUCGCCCCAACCAGAGACACACACACAGCCAGCGCCUUUGGAUUUAUGAGCUGUCACCAUCCCUGCUGUUACACAAGCCUUCUUGCUUCCCACUUUCCUCUCCUCAUGCUUCUGCUUGCUUGCUUUUUUUCCUCUCUUUAAUAACCCUGGCCGCAUAUUUUCUCUAAACCAAACCAUGUGUUUACCAGCUUUUAUAAGCUGUCAUAAAGACAGUGAAGACCCAAGAGCCAUUUGGGUCCCGGCACUUUCUCUGGCUGUCUCUCCGGGCAGCCCCAGCCAGAGGUGAAGUGUGCGGGGCUUGGAGGUGACAGGUCCAGCAGGGUCCUUUCCCUCCCCCUGAAGGUGCCUGUUCACAGCUGCGUCUCUCCGGGGAGGUUGGCAGAGCCGUGGCCGCCUUUCUGCAGGGAUGUCGGAGGACCCGUGGGUCACCUGCCUGUGGCGAGGCGCCCGCUGGGUGAGGACCCGCGGGGAGGGCCGGAGCGAGGUGGCUGCCCAGAGCCAGCCCGGACGGUGCCAGGAGAUCGCUCCUCGGGAAUGCACUGAGCUGUGAGCUCGGGGCGAGCCCAGGAAAACAAUUCGACAACAAUGCCGAGCGCCUAGGUGACAGAGAAAAAAAGGGGAGUGUGUUUGGGAACAGAUUUCGGCCUGUACUUCCAAGGCAUUAGUAAUUCAAGCAGCAGCGAGUGUAAUAAUAUUUACUUGGGAAACUAUGAAAAGUCAUAUAACGACGUUCCUUUGACAGCUUUCAUCAUCGGCCUGCUCGGUUCUGCCACCUAAUCACAAACACAGGCGCGCUCUGCCACCUGGCCCCACGCGGGACUCGGGCCCCAGCAUGCGCAGGGUGUCCCCCGUCAUCGGGCGAGAGUCAGGAGCUGGUGCCUGGGAAGCCACUGUGGGGUAGGACCGCCUGGCCCCCUCUUCCACCGGGAGGAAAUCGGAGAUGGUGGCGCUAGCACAGCCAGUGGGCCAGAGGAAAGAUGAAACCCUGGUUCAACAGAACCCUGCUGCUUAAUUUAAUUUAAUUUAAUUUAAUUUUGUUUUAUGUUUUCUGUGUGGUGGGGUAGAAGGUUAGGAACAGAGGUAGUGUGGCCAGCCAUCCAGGUUUGCCUGGGACGGAGAGGGUUCCAGGGCUAUGGGACUUUCUGUGCUAAACCCAAGAAGUCCCAAGCAAACCAGAAUGAGUUGCUCACCCUAGUGGUGGGGAUGUCCGCAGAGUGGGAAAAGCACGGGACUCAUGUUGGGAUUCAUGGUUUGUCCCCGGGUAACCUUCCCAGAGUUUAUCUAUAAAGGGGGUGGACUUGAGGCGGGGCAGGGAAGGGGGCAGGUAAUAAGGCCCAGGGACCUCAGGUGGGUGGCCGGCACCAAGGGGACCUGAAGAAGAGGCUCCUCCACUUCACCCAGCCCACCACUGCCAAUUUUUUGUGAAAUCUCCCUAAUUUGGAAAUGUUGGCUCACAUAUCACGGACAUCCUGCCUGGGCCACGCAAAAACAUCUGAUCGCCAAGCUGGGCUCUGGGCAACCAGUGUGUGGCCUCUGGACUGCUCCGCCUGUAAGUUUCCUGUCCUUUCUAAAGGCCAGUGAUUAUGCAGCCUCCAGCCAGCCAUACUCCCAGUUAACUGGAAAUUAGUCACGUGGUGUCCUUUGAGGUAGAAUAAGCAAAUAUGUAGGCUUAAAAGCUGAUUUUAGGGGCUGAAUUCAAAUAAAAAGCAGUUUCUGCAAAGUG
This is a non-coding RNA of Microcebus murinus (gray mouse lemur), 3484 nucleotides long. Lineage: Eukaryota; Metazoa; Chordata; Mammalia; Primates; Cheirogaleidae. The record is from RefSeq and is a predicted model, not a curated record.